UCCAUCCUCAGCACGAGGCAAGAAACACAGGAAGAGCAGGAAGGUAAGGAACCCUCAUCCCAGACCCAGCAUACCUGUAACUCGAUCAUCUUUUCUAUUAUUCUUUCCACUUUUCCGAGUCACUGGAGAGACUCACAAAAUGGGAAAGAAUAGAAUGGGUAUUCUCAGGAGAGAGAAGACCACCAUCCAUCCAAGACAAGCCAGACCAGGCAAGGGUUAGAGGGACAUGAGGAUUUCUCCCUGAAGAUCUCCAGCCGGAGUCCGGUUGUGGUGGUGGUGGUGGGGGGGGGGGUCUAGGGCAGCAUCCCAAACACAGUGACAGGUGGCCAAGGACCGGAGGUUAAGAGCCGCCUCUCUAGCGGAAGUCAGGCCCCUGAGCACUGGGUCAUCUGCUGCUGGGGUGGGGGCCCCAGCCUCCCUGUUUUCUCCUAUCUCUGUACCAAGUGGAGCCACAAAGAAGGAGCAACACAAGCAAGAAAAAUCAGACCGUGAAAGGUUUCUGAGAAUUUCUGAACCAUCUGGAAGAGGUUCAGGACCUGUUCUCCCUUCUGGAAAGCCUGAUCCAUCCUCAGCACGAGGCAAGAAACACAGGAAGAGCAGGAAGGUAAGGAACCCUCAUCCCAGACCCAGCAUACCUGUAACUCGAUCAUCUUUUCUAUUAUUCUUUCCACUUUUCCGAGUCACUGGAGAGACUCACAAAAUGGGAAAGAAUAGAAUGGGUAUUCUCAGGAGAGAGAAGACCACCAUCCAUCCAAGACAAGCCAGACCAGGCAAGGGUUAGAGGGACAUGAGGAUUUCUCCCUGAAGAUCUCCAGCCGGAGUCCGGUUGUGGUGGUGGUGGG
Long non-coding RNA from Mustela lutreola (European mink), 842 nucleotides. RefSeq lists it as uncharacterized. The transcript has 3 exons. The record is from RefSeq and is a predicted model, not a curated record. NCBI's taxonomy places the organism in Eukaryota, Metazoa, Chordata, Mammalia, Carnivora, Mustelidae.